UCGGUGUGAGGCCCUCAACGUGUGCCCACCGCCACUCUGCACGACGCUGCGAACCUACCCUGAGUGCUGUGUCCGCUGGCUGACGGCCCGUCGGGCUCUGCGUGUGGGGAGGGUGUCCCGCUGAGCACAACCCACAUUGAAAUAAAAGUAACUGUCAAUGCUUGACACAAAGAAGCAGAAGAUAAAAAAGACAAUUUAAAUGGAAAGUGGAGCUCUUAAAUCACUUUCAAAGACCUACUUACCUAACAAUGAGUUCCAUGAAAUCUUGAGAGUUCAACCACAUGUGAAGAACACCAUGACCAG
Long non-coding RNA from Tympanuchus pallidicinctus (lesser prairie-chicken), 303 nucleotides. RefSeq lists it as uncharacterized. The transcript is spliced from 3 exons. The record is from RefSeq and is a predicted model, not a curated record. Lineage: Eukaryota; Metazoa; Chordata; Aves; Galliformes; Phasianidae.